Molecule: ribosomal RNA, 1961 nt
Filed under: human gut metagenome
Description: bacterial LSU rRNA
Rfam family: Bacterial large subunit ribosomal RNA
Source: RNAcentral
CAGUACCGUGAGGGAAAGGCGAAAAGAACCCCGGCGAGGGGAGUGAAAAAGAACCUGAAACCGUGUACGUACAAGCAGUGGGAGCCUCUUUAUGGGGUGACUGCGUACCUUUUGUAUAAUGGGUCAGCGACUUAUAUUCUGUAGCAAGGUUAACCGAAUAGGGGAGCCGAAGGGAAACCGAGUCUUAACUGGGCGUUAAGUUGCAGGGUAUAGACCCGAAACCCGGUGAUCUAGCCAUGGGCAGGUUGAAGGUUGGGUAACACUAACUGGAGGACCGAACCGACUAAUGUUGAAAAAUUAGCGGAUGACUUGUGGCUGGGGGUGAAAGGCCAAUCAAACCGGGAGAUAGCUGGUUCUCCCCGAAAGCUAUUUAGGUAGCGCCUCGUGAAUUCAUCUCCGGGGGUAGAGCACUGUUUCGGCAAGGGGGUCAUCCCGACUUACCAACCCGAUGCAAACUGCGAAUACCGGAGAAUGUUAUCACGGGAGACACACGGCGGGUGCUAACGUCCGUCGUGAAGAGGGAAACAACCCAGACCGCCAGCUAAGGUCCCAAAGUCAUGGUUAAGUGGGAAACGAUGUGGGAAGGCCCAGACAGCCAGGAUGUUGGCUUAGAAGCAGCCAUCAUUUAAAGAAAGCGUAAUAGCUCACUGGUCGAGUCGGCCUGCGCGGAAGAUGUAACGGGGCUAAACCAUGCACCGAAGCUGCGGCAGCGACACUAUGUGUUGUUGGGUAGGGGAGCGUUCUGUAAGCCUGUGAAGGUGUGCUGUGAGGUAUGCUGGAGGUAUCAGAAGUGCGAAUGCUGACAUAAGUAACGAUAAAGCGGGUGAAAAGCCCGCUCGCCGGAAGACCAAGGGUUCCUGUCCAACGUUAAUCGGGGCAGGGUGAGUCGACCCCUAAGGCGAGGCCGAAAGGCGUAGUCGAUGGGAAACAGGUUAAUAUUCCUGUACUUGGUGUUACUGCGAAGGGGGGACGGAGAAGGCUAUGUUGGCCGGGCGACGGUUGUCCCGGUUUAAGCGUGUAGGCUGGUUUUCCAGGCAAAUCCGGAAAAUCAAGGCUGAGGCGUGAUGACGAGGCACUACGGUGCUGAAGCAACAAAUGCCCUGCUUCCAGGAAAAGCCUCUAAGCAUCAGGUAACAUCAAAUCGUACCCCAAACCGACACAGGUGGUCAGGUAGAGAAUACCAAGGCGCUUGAGAGAACUCGGGUGAAGGAACUAGGCAAAAUGGUGCCGUAACUUCGGGAGAAGGCACGCUGAUAUGUAGGUGAAGCGACUUGCUCGUGGAGCUGAAAUCAGUCGAAGAUACCAGCUGGCUGCAACUGUUUAUUAAAAACACAGCACUGUGCAAACACGAAAGUGGACGUAUACGGUGUGACGCCUGCCCGGUGCCGGAAGGUUAAUUGAUGGGGUUAGCGGUAACGCGAAGCUCUUGAUCGAAGCCCCGGUAAACGGCGGCCGUAACUAUAACGGUCCUAAGGUAGCGAAAUUCCUUGUCGGGUAAGUUCCGACCUGCACGAAUGGCGUAAUGAUGGCCAGGCUGUCUCCACCCGAGACUCAGUGAAAUUGAACUCGCUGUGAAGAUGCAGUGUACCCGCGGCAAGACGGAAAGACCCCGUGAACCUUUACUAUAGCUUGACACUGAACAUUGAGCCUUGAUGUGUAGGAUAGGUGGGAGGCUUUGAAGUGUGGACGCCAGUCUGCAUGGAGCCGGCCUUGAAAUACCACCCUUUAAUGUUUGAUGUUCUAACGUUGGCCCCUGAUCGGGGUUGCGGACAGUGUCUGGUGGGUAGUUUGACUGGGGCGGUCUCCUCCUAAAGAGUAACGGAGGAGCACGAAGGUUGGCUAAUCCUGGUCGGACAUCAGGAGGUUAGUGCAAUGGCAUAAGCCAGCUUGACUGCGAGCGUGACGGCGCGAGCAGGUGCGAAAGCAGGUCAUAGUGAUCCGGUGGUUCUGAAUGGAAGGGC